This 406-nucleotide ribosomal RNA is filed under the name uncultured bacterium. Its description in RNAcentral is "partial 16S ribosomal RNA". It matches the Rfam family "Bacterial small subunit ribosomal RNA", at positions 28 to 526 of the family's 1533-position model. The record is from RNAcentral.
GAUGAACGCUAGCUACAGGCUUAACACAUGCAAGUCGAGGGACCGGCACACGGGUGAGUAACACGUAUCCAACCUGCCCUUUACUCGGGGAUAGCCUUUCGAAAGAAAGAUUAAUACCUGAUAUAAAGGAUGGGGAUGCGUUCCAUUUGGUUGUUGGUGAGGUAACGGACCACCAAGCAUUCGGAGGAUAGGGGUUCUGAGAGGAAGGUCCCCCACGUUGUAACUGAGACACGGUCCAAACGCCUACGGGAGUCAGCAUGGAGGAAUAUUGGUCAAUGGGCGCUAGCCUGAACCAGCCAAGUAGCGUGAAGGAUGAAGGCUUAUGGGUCUUAAACUUCUUUUAUAUAAGAAUAUGUAUUAUCUGAAUAAGGAUCGGCUAACUCCGUGCCAGCAGCCGCGGUAAUAC